RNAcentral lists this ribosomal RNA (468 nucleotides) under uncultured bacterium. RNAcentral's name for it is "partial 16S ribosomal RNA". It matches the Rfam family "Bacterial small subunit ribosomal RNA", at positions 28 to 507 of the family's 1533-position model. The record is from RNAcentral.
GACGAACGCUGGCGGCGUGCUUAACACAUGCAAGUCGAACGGAAAGGCCCUGCUUUUGUGGGAUGCUCGAGUGGCGAACGGGUGAGUAACACGUGAGUAACCUGCCCUUGACUUUGGGAUAACUUCAGGAAACUGGGGCUAAUACCGGAUAGGAGCUCCUGCUGCAUGGUGGGGGUUGGAAAGUUUCGGCGGUUGGGGAUGGACUCGCGGCUUAUCAGCUUGUUGGUGGGGUAGUGGCGUACCAAGGCUUUGACGGGUAGCCGGCCUGAUAGGGUGACCGGCCAGAUGGUUCCCGAGGUCUCGCCCAGUACACUCCUGGGGCCCGCAGUGGGGGAUAUUGCACGAUGGCCUGACCCCUGAUGCAGCAACCUCGCGUGCCCAAUGGCUGCCUUCUGGUUGUAUUUCGCUUUCGCCUGUGCCGAACCGAGAGUGACAGUCACGGGCCUAGAAGCACCGGCCCUCUACGUG